RNAcentral lists this ribosomal RNA (869 nucleotides) under uncultured bacterium. Its description in RNAcentral is "bacterial SSU rRNA". It matches the Rfam family "Bacterial small subunit ribosomal RNA", at positions 526 to 1397 of the family's 1533-position model. The record is from RNAcentral.
CGGAGGAUCCAAGCGUUAUCCGGGAUUUACUGGGUUUAAAGGGUGCGUAGGCGGGCGCUUAAGUCAGCGGUGAAAGGCAGCGGCUCAACCGUUGAAUUGCCGUUGAAACUGGGCGCCUUGGAUUCGGUCGAGGCCGGCGGAAUGCGUGGUGUAGCGGUGAAAUGCUUAGAUAUCACGCGGAACGCCGAUUGCGAAGGCAGCUGGCCAGACCGAGAUCGACGCUGAGGCACGAAAGCGUGGGGAUCAAACAGGAUUAGAUACCCUGGUAGUCCACGCCGUAAACGAUGAUCACUGGAUGCCGGCGAUACACCGUCGGUGUCUGAGCGAAAGCAUUAAGUGAUCCACCUGGGGAGUACGAUCGCAAGGUUGAAACUCAAAGGAAUUGACGGGGGCCCGCACAAGCGGAGGAACAUGUGGUUUAAUUCGAUGAUACGCGAGGAACCUUACCUGGGCUAGAACGCCGAGCGCAUAUGGGGGAAACCCCAUAGCCAGCAAUGGCGGUCGGCGAGGUGCUGCAUGGUUGUCGUCAGCUCGUGCCGUGAGGUGUCGGGUUAAGUCCCAUAACGAGCGCAACCCCUACUGUUAGUUGCCAGCGGAUCAUGCCGGGGACUCUAACGGAACUGCCAGCGUAAGCUGUGAGGAAGGUGGGGAUGACGUCAAAUCAGCACGGCCCUUACGUCCAGGGCUACACACGUGUUACAAUGGCCGGUACAGAGGGCAGCCACCCCGCGAGGGGGCGCGAAUCCUCAAAGCCGGUCCCAGUUCGGAUCGGAGUCUGCAACCCGACUCCGUGAAGCUGGAUUCGCUAGUAAUCGCGCAUCAGCCACGGCGCGGUGAAUACGUUCCCGGGCCUUGUACACACCGCCCGU